AGCUUGCUCCCGGAUGUUAGCGGCGGACGGGUGAGUAACACGUGGGUAACCUGCCUGUAAGACUGGGAUAACUCCGGGAAACCGGAGCUAAUACCGGAUAGUUCCUUGAACCGCAUGGUUCAAGGAUGAAAGACGGUUUCGGCUGUCACUUACAGAUGGACCCGCGGCGCAUUAGCUAGUUGGUGAGGUAACGGCUCACCAAGGCGACGAUGCGUAGCCGACCUGAGAGGGUGAUCGGCCACACUGGGACUGAGACACGGCCCAGACUCCUACGGGAGGCAGCAGUAGGGAAUCUUCCGCAAUGGACGAAAGUCUGACGGAGCAACGCCGCGUGAGUGAUGAAGGUUUUCGGAUCGUAAAGCUCUGUUGUUAGGGAAGAACAAGUGCAAGAGUAACUGCUUGCACCUUGACGGUACCUAACCAGAAAGCCACGGCUAACUACGUGCCAGCAGCCGCGGUAAUACGUAGGUGGCAAGCGUUGUCCGGAAUUAUUGGGCGUAAAGGGCUCGCAGGCGGUUUCUUAAGUCUGAUGUGAAAGCCCCCGGCUCAACCGGGGAGGGUCAUUGGAAACUGGGAAACUUGAGUGCAGAAGAGGAGAGUGGAAUUCCACGUGUAGCGGUGAAAUGCGUAGAGAUGUGGAGGAACACCAGUGGCGAAGGCGACUCUCUGGUCUGUAACUGACGCUGAGGAGCGAAAGCGUGGGGAGCGAACAGGAUUAGAUACCCUGGUAGUCCACGCCGUAAACGAUGAGUGCUAAGUGUUAGGGGGUUUCCGCCCCUUAGUGCUGCAGCUAACGCAUUAAGCACUCCGCCUGGGGAGUACGGUCGCAAGACUGAAACUCAAAGGAAUUGACGGGGGCCCGCACAAGCGGUGGAGCAUGUGGUUUAAUUCGAAGCAACGCGAAGAACCUUACCAGGUCUUGACAUCCUCUGACAACCCUAGAGAUAGGGCUUUCCCUUCGGGGACAGAGUGACAGGUGGUGCAUGGUUGUCGUCAGCUCGUGUCGUGAGAUGUUGGGUUAAGUCCCGCAACGAGCGCAACCCUUGAUCUUAGUUGCCAGCAUUCAGUUGGGCACUCUAAGGUGACUGCCGGUGACAAACCGGAGGAAGGUGGGGAUGACGUCAAAUCAUCAUGCCCCUUAUGACCUGGGCUACACACGUGCUACAAUGGACAGAACAAAGGGCUGCGAGACCGCAAGGUUUAGCCAAUCCCACAAAUCUGUUCUCAGUUCGGAUCGCAGUCUGCAACUCGACUGCGUGAAGCUGGAAUCGCUAGUAAUCGCGGAUCAGCAUGCCGCGGU
This 1300-nucleotide ribosomal RNA is filed under the name Bacillus sp. (in: firmicutes). Its description in RNAcentral is "bacterial SSU rRNA". It matches the Rfam family "Bacterial small subunit ribosomal RNA", at positions 77 to 1363 of the family's 1533-position model. The record is from RNAcentral. Lineage: Bacteria; Bacillati; Bacillota; Bacilli; Caryophanales; Bacillaceae.